RNAcentral lists this ribosomal RNA (468 nucleotides) under uncultured bacterium. RNAcentral's name for it is "partial 16S ribosomal RNA". It matches the Rfam family "Bacterial small subunit ribosomal RNA", at positions 28 to 507 of the family's 1533-position model. The record is from RNAcentral.
GACGAACGCUGGCGGCGUGCUUAACACAUGCCAGUCGAACGGAAAGGCCCUGCUUUUGUGGGGUGCUCGAGUGGCGCACGUGUGAGUAACACGUGAGUAACCUGCCCUUGACUUUGGGAUAACUUCAGGAAACUGGGGCUAAUACCGGAUAGGAGCUCCUGCUGCAUGGUGGGGGUUGGAAAGUUUCGGCGGUUGGGGAUGGACUCGCGGCUUAUCAGCUUGUUGGUGGGGUAGUGGCUUACCAAGGCUUUGACGGGUAGCCGGCCUGAGAGGGUGACCGGCAACAUUGGGACGGAGAUACGGCCGAGACGACUACGGGAGGCAGCAGUGGGGAAGAAUGCACAAUGGGCGGAAGCCUGAUGCAGCAACGCCGCGUGCUGGAUGACGGCCUUCGGGUUGUAAACCGCUGUCGCCUGUGACGAAGAGUGAGUGACGGUAAUGGGUAAAGAAGCACCGGCUAACUACGUG